RNAcentral lists this long non-coding RNA (1311 nucleotides) under Numida meleagris (helmeted guineafowl). RNAcentral's name for it is "lncRNA (ENSNMEG00000022133.1)". The record is from RNAcentral. Lineage: Eukaryota; Metazoa; Chordata; Aves; Galliformes; Numididae.
CAUUUUCAAACAUACUCUUUCCCCCCCACCUCCCCCCCCGUGUUAUGCUUUACCCUCUCAGGAAAGCUUUCUGAAUCAUCCAAGAAAAUCCUUCAUUAUUCUGCUCCAGAUUGCUCCAAAAACCUUUCCUUUGAUGUGUCAUUAGACUGAUGAUACACUAAGCCACAAUCUAUCACAUUGAACAACUCUCAUGUGUGAUGAUUAAUUUUAGCUUUACUUUGUAUCCCUGGUAUUCUGCAAAGAUAAUAAAGUGACAAAGACUAGCUGGGUUUAUGUUCAUAAUAAAUAGAUGAACAAUUCCACACCUAUCUUGGUAUAUUUUUGUAUACUUCUUGUGAUGGAAGAAGAAGAAAGCUAACAGGUGGCAGAAUUAGCCUUUUACAUUCAAGUGCAAAAUUGCACUUCCAAUUUUACAGAAAGCUAUUGAGAGUUGUACUUGCACACAGGGUUAGCUUCUGCCCCCAACCUUGUAAAGCAACACCAGAAGUCACCAAGCUAUCAAUGUUCAAUAACUAGUGUUCUCUAGGAGUCCUCCAGGUCAGAAGUGACGUCACAAUUGGUUUAGCUCUCCUUGACAUUGUACAUGCCCGUGCUUAUAGAGAUGCUUUUGAGUAGAAAGUACUAGAGCACGCAGUAAAUUCUAAAAUUUUCCAACAAACAUAGGUUUAUUUUCUGUGUGCUGCUUGUACAGCUGAGACCUAUAACAGUGGACAGUAAAGGGUGUACGAUGCAGCUCCUGUACAUGUAUGGAACACUAAGAGGCAUGGAAGGACAUGGAGGGGCAGCAAUCCUCAGCAGUCCUACUCAGCAAAGCAAGUUUUCCCAGGCCUGUCUUCAAGCUGAUGAAGCACAGAACAGUCUCAAAUCCAUCUUGCAUAUCUGAGAAAGAGGGACUGAGAUACUUCACAGAGAAAAGCAAUAAGGAAAUGCAGAAGUGAAAAGGAAAAGAGCAAGGAGCAGACUGAAAAAGUUGGGAACUAUAACCCAAGAGGAAUAGGAAUGACGUACUGCUAGGCUCUGAAGAAGAACAGAAUAAUCAGCUGACAGCAGAAAGCAAGCCUAAAAUUUACACCAGAAUCGGGAAUAGGUAUUGACUAUAGGCUUCACUGUAAAAUUGACAGUUCUGUCACCCAAAGUGUUGCAGCCAAGGAAGAUGUAUGGUAUCUGCCAUGAGCAAAAGGUAUGAGAUAUGUGUUUGAGGCAAGAAUGAAAACUGAUAGAAAGUAGAGGUGAGGAAGACAGAAAAAAAAACUCACCUUGGUGCCCUUCACAUUUGAACAAAUGAUCCUGCCAGUGUCCCGCUGAAACAAA